UUGACGUCACUUCCGGCCGCAUCGCUAACGUCAGGAGUCGUUUCUGGAGGCGGGGCCGGGGCCAAUAGCGCUGCCUCCACCAGCCGAGGAGGUAAGCUUCAGUUUGCGGCAGGAGAGGAAAACAAGAAGAGUUUAGUAGUGGAGGUGACCAAUAAGGAGAUCCCAGACCAUUUUUUAAAGGGAUUUGAGGCAAGAAAUGCAAAAGAAAAGGAGCAGUGUGUGAGGGCAGCAAUGGAAAAGAAUAGAAGAGAAUUUAAGGACUAUUUCCGGAGAUUAUGUAUUUCCUGCACAGAGUGCAAGAGGGACAAGAAAAAGACGAGUCAAAACUGGUUGAAUGGGGGCUUCCCUGGUGGCGCAGUGGUUGAGAAUCUGCCUGCUAAUGCAGGGGACACGGGUUCGAGCCCUGGUCUGGGAAGAUCCCACAUGCCACGGAGCGGCUGGGCCCGUGAGCCACAACUACUGAGCCUGCGCGUCUGGAGCCUGUGCCCCGCAACGGGAGGGGCCGCGAUAGUGAAAGGCCCGCGCACCGCGAUGAAGAGUGGCCCCCACUUGCCGCAACUAGAGAAAGCCCUCGCACGAACCGAAGACCCAGCACAGCCAAAAAUAAAAAUAAAAUAAAUAAAAAUUA
Balaenoptera ricei (Rice's whale) is the source of this 628-nucleotide long non-coding RNA. RefSeq lists it as uncharacterized. The record is from RefSeq and is a predicted model, not a curated record. NCBI's taxonomy places the organism in Eukaryota, Metazoa, Chordata, Mammalia, Artiodactyla, Balaenopteridae. The transcript has 3 exons.